This 743-nucleotide long non-coding RNA is filed under the name Zea mays. RNAcentral's name for it is "long non-coding RNA (ZMAY_LNC000398)". The record is from RNAcentral. Lineage: Eukaryota; Viridiplantae; Streptophyta; Magnoliopsida; Poales; Poaceae.
CCAUUGGUAACCUGAAGACCAAGAGCUCCCCGAGCAGGCAGAGGCCACGCGCACGGUCGGUCAUGGCGGCGGAUGCGGCCUCCUUCCUGCUCCAGCUUCUGUGGGAGGUGCUGUUGUGCUGUUGCCCCCGCCGGCCAGGUCAAGAUGCAGCGCCCAGCCAAGGUGACAUGCGCGAGAGUACUCCUACGGAGCAACCGGUGGACGACGUGGUCCAGUUGCAGCGAGAUCUUACAAGCCCCAGCUCCCCAUCCCAACCCAAGGAAACAGACAAACAAUUCAGGCAUCACGGCCAACCACCGACUGCGCAUGGCGGUGGUGGCAGCCAUCACCACUGAAAACUGAAAGGUAAAAUCCUGUCUUGGAGGAGGAGAUUCAAAGGUCAAUCAGCGCAGAAAUUAAUUAUUUGGAAUAAGUUUUACUAUAGUUAACAUGUAUGGUCCAAAAGAAUGAGGGGUGAGGAGUAAUACAUUUUUCUGUUACGUUACUAUAAUUAACAUGAAUGGUCCAAAAGAAUGAGGGGUGAUAGAGGAGUAAUACAUUUUUCUGUUACGUUGACUUUUUUUGUAAACAGGGGGGACAUAUACAUACUGAAGGAUCUGUGGUAGUGAAGUUGUUGGACGGCAAUUAAGGAAGACGACACAUGUUGCUAAUCACAAUGGAGGUUUCAUGAGUUGUUUCAUGUAUUAAUUAGUCUGCCACAUCAGCUAUUUGGAUGAUAUGUCACAUCAUUUAAGAAGGGAGAG